Brachypodium distachyon (stiff brome) is the source of this 136-nucleotide non-coding RNA. NCBI's taxonomy places the organism in Eukaryota, Viridiplantae, Streptophyta, Magnoliopsida, Poales, Poaceae. The record is from Rfam.
CUACUACUCCCUCUGUCCGGUAUUAAGUGUUGCAACUUAAUCUAGAUACACAUGUAUCUAGACGCGUUUUAGUAUGUAGAUACAUGCGUAUUUAGACAAAGUUGCGACACUUAAUACCGAACGGAGGGAGUACAAU